This 301-nucleotide ribosomal RNA is filed under the name uncultured bacterium. RNAcentral's name for it is "partial 16S ribosomal RNA". It matches the Rfam family "Bacterial small subunit ribosomal RNA", at positions 509 to 810 of the family's 1533-position model. The record is from RNAcentral.
CAGUAGCCACGGUAAUACGUAGGUGGCGAGCGUUGUCCGGAAUCAUUGGGCGUAAAGGGAGCGCAGGCGGGCAAGUAAGUCUUUCUUAAAAGUUCGGGGCUCAACCCCGUGACGGGAAAGAAACUACAUGUCUUGAGUACAGGAGAGGAAAGCGGAAUUCCCAGUGUAGCGGUGAAAUGCGUAGAUAUUGGGAGGAACACCAGUGGCGAAGGCGGCUUUCUGGACUGCAACUGACGCUGAGGCUCGAAAGCCAGGGGAGCGAACGGGAUUAGAUACCCGCGUAGUCCCUGUCUCUUAUAAC